AUGAAUUGCAUGAGUUGGAACUGUCGGGGGGGCAACAAACUGACAGUUCACGACUUAGUUGGCAUGGUGAAGGCAACACAGACAAAAAUUUUGUUUUUAUGUGAGACUAGACAGAGUUUAGAAAAAAUAAAAAGAUUUCGUACUAGGUUAGGCGUUAGAGGUUUCUCAGGUGUCAGUAGUAAUGGGUUGAGUGGUGGCCUUGCUCUUUUCUGGUGUGAUAGUCUGCAUGUUGAAGUUCAAUCAUCGAAUGGCAGAUAUGUGCGGCUGUCUGAGCAUGAUCCUUUGUGGCGGUUGACAUGUGUGUAUGGGGAACCAUGCACUGAAAAUCUACAUCUGAUGUGGACUCUCAUGACAAGCCUUAAACAACAAUCUGAUCUCCCUUGGUGUGUUAUGGGUGAUUUUAAUGAGGCCAUGUGA
Molecule: ribosomal RNA, 417 nt
Filed under: Triticum aestivum (bread wheat)
Lineage: Eukaryota; Viridiplantae; Streptophyta; Magnoliopsida; Poales; Poaceae
Description: partial small subunit ribosomal RNA
Source: RNAcentral